RNAcentral lists this long non-coding RNA (1412 nucleotides) under Citrus x clementina. Its description in RNAcentral is "Citrus clementina (C. clementina) long non-coding RNA (CCLE_LNC006479)". The record is from RNAcentral. Lineage: Eukaryota; Viridiplantae; Streptophyta; Magnoliopsida; Sapindales; Rutaceae.
UAUAAAUAAAUUAUAUUCAACAUUAUGUUUAUUUUAAUCAUUUGUAUUUUUAUUGCAGUUCAAUGGUAAGAUUUACCAAAAUAUAGAGUUGCUUUUAAGACUCAUAAUAUUUUAAAAAAAAUAAUUAAAUAUUUAACUGAUUUUAUUCACAAUUGAUAAUUUCUACAAUAUAGCUAAAACUAAUUGUUUUAAAACGUAAAGUGUUAUCAAACUGGCCCUAAAUUUAUAAACUAUAUCCUAAAACAAUAAUUUUUUUUAAAAGACUUUCUUUGGACAAUCACAUUGCUAUUAUAGAAAUAUUAUAUCAUAUUAUCAUACAACAAGAUUUAAGAAUGAAACAGAAAACCAAAACUUUGAAUAAAAGUAAACAAAUCAGUCAUGUGUCAUUCGACAUUUACCUAACGGUAGGUUGGUGUCUACGAUUAUAUACCAAUUCAAGUAUCUACGAGAGCUCUUUCCUCUUCUUACAAAAUAUGUAAUUAGUAUAGAUUUCUUCCUAGAUAUUGCUAGUGGAAGCAGAUUUCAAAGCUAAUUUUGGUAAAAUUAUUAUCCCUAAAUUGUAAUAUAUAUAGAUCUUUACUAUUUAAAAAUAAUAAUUUAUAUUUUAUCGAAGCACUUUUUUUAAAAAAAUUUCUCCGUAACAAACCGUUUUAAUUCUUUUGUUGAAUAUUGUGUUACAAUUAUUUUUGUUUAAUUUAUGUAUUUCAGAGAUCCAAGAUAAGAGUAAAGAUCUCUGUAAUUUUAAAAUUCUAACAUACCUCAAGAUCUUAUAAUGUAAUUACCCACUCUUACUAGAUUAUAUUUUGAAAUUGUUAUUUGGUCGGGCUCAUUUCUAACAGAAAUUAUGAACGUAUCCGCUUUGUUGAAUGAAUGAAAAUAAUAUUUUUUUUUUUUAUAAAAAAAAGUUUUUAAAUAUUGUUAAAGAUAAUUUUAAGGGCCACGCCUACUUGCAACCGUUAGAUAACAUCAAUAUCCAACGUCUAAUAAUUAGGCAUACAGGCAGCAGCACUCUUUUUAAGUUACCUGAUAAGUUGGUACUGAAAUGUCAUUUGCUAUAAAAAAUAACUCUUAGCUAAAAACUUACAACGAAGUGGUGACAGCACUGUAGUAAUUCCCGAAUGAAUGUACGCCACAUAAGUCACGGUUUCUUAUUCUAAUAAUAGAUGGAACAAAUGCUUCAAUGCAAGUAAGGGUUCCUAAGCAAGCAUAGUAUGUGCAACAAAUGAUUCCAAGUAACAUAUGCUCUGUUAUGAAUUUCAAUAGAUUAGAGGCAAACAUCAAAAUAAUCACAAAUCUAGAGCGUGCGUUAACAUAACAGCCAUCUAAAACAAUUUUAUCGUGGACGACUUGACUUCAAUAAUCACCCAUAUAAUUAUAAAAAAGAAAGUUCUAAUUUUAAAUUCUUGAUCCAU